Gopherus flavomarginatus (Mexican gopher tortoise) is the source of this 1314-nucleotide long non-coding RNA. RefSeq lists it as uncharacterized. The record is from RefSeq and is a predicted model, not a curated record. The transcript is spliced from 8 exons. Lineage: Eukaryota; Metazoa; Chordata; Testudines; Testudinidae.
UCUCUUUCUCUCUCUGUCUCUGUUCUUGCCUCUCCUUGUGCCUUUUCCCUUCAUAGGACACAGGCAGCUGUGCUAGGUGUGCAUCCCCACAGGCUAGGUCUCGAGAGCUAUGAACAAGUAGGAGGGGACGAAAAUCAUGCAGGAUAGUGGGUGCGAGAGUGGAGGCAGGUACUGGAAGAUGUCGUGCACCUAGACUGUUUUUGGCAGUGAUGGCUCUUCCAUAGUGGAGCCAAGGAGCGAUCUUGUAAUGUUGGAGGAGCAGUUCCUACUGAGAUUGGUCUCUGCCACAGGUUGGCCAGUCUCUCAUCAGACCAAAGAAGUAGUGGCCACCCUGAGCCCAUCCCUAGUGACGAAAGCCGGACAGUAAUCUGCAGAAGGGAUCAUCCAGGAGCCGCAGCUAGAGGAGAAACUAGAAGAAAUGAACCUGAGCAGCCUGGACAUCCUUGUAAGCAGAGAUGAACAGUCCUCAGCUUUCUGCCUUCCACAUAACUGGCUGUGAGUUUGGCAUUUCUGACCAGAGUCUGCUAUGCAGAGCUGUUAAUUGGCUCUCAGCUAGGCAGACCUGAUAUUUCAGUAAGAGUUUCUGGCGACUCCAGACGGGACUCUCCUAGGUCAGACAUUGGACUCCAGACGGUUGCAGUGAACUACGAGCGGUGCCACUGGGGUGCUUAACCCCUCUUCUUCACUUCUCCACAGCCCCUGGGGUUCGUGAUCCGAUAAGAUAAUCAGAGAAAACUGAUGCCAGCUGAACAGCAUUCAACAUAUCAUCAUGCAUUUACUGGUAAAGAAGUGCUAUCCAAAGACUCUAGCAGCCCUGCCACUCCUUGGAACCAGGAGACUGGAUCUAUGUAAAGGUCCACCAAUGAAAGACUCCCCUGGCUCCAUGCUGGAAUGGCCCUUUCCAAGUCCUGUUAAUCACCAAUACUGCCCUGAAGUGCCAAGGAUUGACUGCCUGGACCCAUGCUUCUCACUGCAAAAAGACCCCUCCACCUUGGGAGGAUUCUCCUAAUGAUGAGUAGCCUAUUUCUCCUUCUAGCUCUGCUGUGCCUUCUGGACAGCAAGGAAAAAGGACAACCUCUCCUUUGUCCAGUGACAGAUCUACUGUGCCUUUGGAUUUUUCUAGAAGAAGCAAAGCCAUUACAGGCUGAUAUGCUAGUAACCUCUCUCCUGUAGGAUGCUGAGCCAUGCUUGCUUCAGGAAAGAAGGAGGAACACUUGUUCCACUGAAAUUGCCAAAGUCCAGGAAUUCCUUACUAGAAAGGACAUUAAGAACUGACCCUGGUGAAGAAACAAAGAAUUAUACACUUGCAGGAAG